CAGCCGCCGCGGGAACACGUAGGGUCCGAGCGUUGUCCGGAAUUAUUGGGCGUAAAGGGCUCGUAGGCGGUUUGUCGCGUCGGGAGUGAAAACCAGCAGCUUAACUGCUGGCCUGCUUUCGAUACGGGCAGACUUGAGGCAUUCAGGGGAGAACGGAAUUCCUGGUGUAGCGGUGAAAUGCGCAGAUAUCAGGAGGAACACCGGUGGCGAAGGCGGUUCUCUGGGAAUGUUCUGACGCUGAGGAGCGAAAGUGUGGGGAGCGAACAGGAUUAGAUACCCCCGUAGUCCCUGUCUCUUAUAC
Molecule: ribosomal RNA, 301 nt
Filed under: uncultured bacterium
Lineage: Bacteria
Description: partial 16S ribosomal RNA
Rfam family: Bacterial small subunit ribosomal RNA
Source: RNAcentral